Molecule: long non-coding RNA, 1048 nt
Filed under: Capra hircus (goat)
Lineage: Eukaryota; Metazoa; Chordata; Mammalia; Artiodactyla; Bovidae
Description: lncRNA (ENSCHIG00010023656.1)
Source: RNAcentral
UUAAAACUGGCUUCAUGGCAAGUUUGUAGUUAAAAGAAUUAUCCUAAAAAUAAAAUAAAAAUUAUAGGUGACAUUUAUCAAGUGCUUACUAUGUACCAAUCAUUGUUGUAAAUAUUUUACAUGUAAAACUGUUUAUGCAUGCUGAAGUUAAGAAAAUUUUGUGUGGUUUAACAGCUCAAUUCAAAAUCUAAUAAGUUCCUACUACGUGAGAGGCUGAAGCAUGACAAAGAUGAACCAACUACAAAAAAGUCACAAAUUCUGAAAUAUCUGUUAAAGCGAGGUGGAUGAUCAUGUUCCCUUUUCUGCAAUUCUGAAAUCCAAAACACGCUGAAAAUCAUAAAUUCUUUUGAUAACUCAUUUGGCAACAAAAAUUUGACCUGACCUGGUUAUUGAUAAACUUGACUUUUUAGUGUGAAUAUUCAUACAUCUUGCUGCAUAUAUGUUAAUGCUUGAUUAUACUGUUCUACCCCACACUCCAUCAAGGUAUAUGUAAUAUAUUAGAGAUUUCAGAUCUCAGAUUCUUAUUCAUACUUUACUUGUGAAUAAAUACACACAUGUAUUUAGUAGUUGCUUCUGCUUUAAAAGCACUGCUAAAGAUGGCGCAUGAAAAAUAGAUAAUGUAACAAUCGUGACAAUGAGUUCUCAUUCUCAUUCUUUUUAUUCAUUAUUUAAAAUCAAAUAACAUACUUCAAAAACUUUAUGCCAUAUCUUUCUUCCAUUGGCUGUCAUUCUGAAAAAAUUGCAAGAGAAAUUGUAGCAAAACAUGUUUGUUCCUCCAUGGAAUAUAUAAACUAAAACUAAGUAUACGGAUCCCACAUUAAAUAGGAUUAACUCAGCAUAAUAAUCAUCAAUUAAUAGCCACUGAAUGUCACAUAGAUAAUGUUUUAGGUACUAUUAAAAAAAUGAUGAAAAAUUUACCCAGAGACAUACCAACAAGGAACACCAGUUUUUUAAUAUCUUUAAAUUUUUUCUUUUAUAUUUAUUCUAUAUCAUAAUGAUGUGAAUUAGAUUGUAUAGUAAUUGAUUAGAUUGUCAUAGCUCAUCACUC